Molecule: long non-coding RNA, 1168 nt
Filed under: Equus caballus (horse)
Lineage: Eukaryota; Metazoa; Chordata; Mammalia; Perissodactyla; Equidae
Description: lncRNA (ENSECAG00000059772.1)
Source: RNAcentral
UUCCGACCCAGUAAUUCUGGGGUGUGUCCCAGGCAUCCGGGCUUUCCAGAGCUUACAGAUGGUCAAGAAGCUCAGGCGGAGCUGAGCGACCGAGGACUGGUCUAUGAAAGGCAACGAGAAAGGGCGGCUUUCCGUCCACCUCCUCCUCCACGGCCCCGCCUCACCUCCUCGCCCUGUUCACCCUGUUGGGAGGCGUGGGCGUCAGCAGAUUCAUUCCCGAGGCGCUCGGAGAAGCGGAGCAUCAGAGACGACCGAAGGCCGGCAGUGUUCACGCUGGACGCUGAUCCCAGCAAACGGCUGGAGGAACGCAGCAGGAUCGAGGACUCGGGGCUAAGGCUCAGCUUUGAACGUCUUGACAGCAAAUGUGGGGUGUGAGAGACGGCACUGCUGGGACUUGAUUUGCGUGAAAUAACUCUUACACGUGCUUUGCCAGUUUUUCUAUACUUGUAAAAUGACUUUCUGCUAGAGAGCUCUAGACACUCUCAAAUAAAGCACAACCGUUUUUAAAUAAAGGUUGUCGAGUGGGUUAAUUUACUUGAGCAGUGAAAAUUUACCAAGUGCCCCCUGGGCGCAGGCCGCUGGGCUCAGGACCAUGGAGACAGAAUUUCACCCGACAAACGUUUAUUGAGCGCUGCUCCGGGAGUGGGGCUGUAUCAGUGAGAAAACAAGGAGAGACAAAAAUCCCUACCCUUUCGGAGUUUACAUCUAACGGGGAGAGACGGGCAGGGAAAAGUAAACAUGGAGCUUUGGAACCUGGCGUGUGGUUACACCUACAGCACAGCUCAGUCCAGAGCAGCCACACUCCAAGAGCUCAGUGGACGCCUGGGCUAACGGCUGUGGUGCUGGAUGGUGCAGCUUCGGGCAACAGAGGUGCGCGCUGUGAGAGACAGAUUUCCACUUCUGGAAAACAAAAUGACUGCCCGUUUAAAGUAGAAGAGGUGGUUCAGCAGACCAUGCAGGGAAUCAACCACUAUGAAGGACAAGCAUCUUUUAGGAUUUUGGGAUCUGCGUAGCUGGGUCAGUGCUGGGAUGGGGGACAUGAAAGGACCCAGUGCUGUGGUGGGUGCUCCUGGCCCAAUCCUCUUUCUCAGAAGCGUCACUCACCAAUCUUCUCCCAAACUGGCUCAGCUCAGCCAAUGAGAAAUGCCACAGCUCAGCUAAUGAGAAA